This 5214-nucleotide long non-coding RNA is filed under the name Sus scrofa (pig). Its description in RNAcentral is "lncRNA (ENSSSCG00030046843.1)". The record is from RNAcentral. Lineage: Eukaryota; Metazoa; Chordata; Mammalia; Artiodactyla; Suidae.
UGAUGGUUUUCUACCCAGUGGAAACCCGAGGCCUGAGGUAUUUAGAAAAACCCAAACCCAUGUUCCUUCACCAAGUGAUGUGAGCAAGACUGGUUUAUUUACUAAUCAGAAACAGUUGUGAAACUGAACAGUUACUGUGAUGCCUUCUUCCCCUUCCACAUGCACUUGUGCCCACUGCCCAUCAAGGUACUCUUGGGUGCCUUCAUUGGAAGGAGGGAUCGGGAAGGCCUAAAUGGAUGGUUUAAUGGGUAAAUCUGCUGAGUAUUGGCACUUAAAAAUGAGUCGCAAGGUUGAGGACUCUCAAACGGUGAUCCUCUAAUGGGUGACCUUCUCACAAUCAGGACUCUCAGGAAAACAGAAGAUGAUCCUCCUCGGAAUCUGAGCUAGGAUCUGGUUUGCUGCUUCUUUCCCAGGCGUUCAGUGCUAGGCCAGGCAUGUCACUUAGCCUCAUGAGGCAUGUACUCAGUGAAUGUCUGCUCACUGGUAGGAAUAUGAAUGCUUUAUAAAUUCUUGGUUUAAAGUCUAUUUUUAGUUUUGGGGAGGGACCUUCAUACUGUUUUUGACAGUGGCUGUACCAGUUUCCAUGGGAGAAUACAUCCUGAACUAAAUGAGUUUCAUGACUGCUUUUCCGGCCGCCUUUGAUUGUCUGUUCUUUUCAGGAGAAGAGCUAUAGAAAUUAGGGGCUGAGACCGGGAAGAGCUUCCCUGAUCAGGAAAGAUGCAACGACCGGGCCUUCCCUGGGCUGCCUAAAGCCCAAAGAUGGGGCUGGGGCUGGGGCUGGGGCUGGGGCUGGGAAGGGUAGCCCUCUGGAGCAAGGCUGUCAGAGCAGGGGGAGAAAGCAGACUGCUGGAGGGCCUGGGCCCUCCGUGUGAAAGGGGUCUUGGACUGUGUGACUGCAGGCCAGGCCCCUGCCCGCUUCCCAACCCCUAGUCCUGCCUGGGGUGGGCGGAGCACGGGGCCCAUCAUCGGGGGUGACCUGAGAAUCGGCCUUCUGGGAAAGGGGAGGCUGUUACCAUGGAGGCGUUUCCCCAUCUUCCAGGAGUCCCAGGCAUUUGGGGCUUUGCUGCUGGGGAAGGUCUUGGUGUUUCUGCCUCGUGCUGUGUGGUGCCUUGGCCUGUGACAAGUGGCUCAGGAAAGGGGGCUCUUCACCCACCGGUCUUGUGGCCUAGACCAGGACUCUGGGGCCGUCUCAUGGGAGGCCCAUGCUGACGUUGGUUCUUUCUUGUGAAUAGUCAGGCCUGGUUGCGUGGACGGCUCCACUCUGUGAGCCGAAUUGCACAGAGAGCCUGGCGAAGGUGCGUCGCUGUGCGGGGGUGCUCUUCUGGGUCCCUGUCCAGACGCCCCUUUCCACUCCGUGGCUCAGAUACCCUGCCAGGGGCCUGCAGGAGGCACAUAGGGGCGAUGGAGCAUCUGGGCUGUGGGAGAUGUUGGGUCUAGGGCAGAAGCAGAGCGUGGCCUGUGGUCAGGACUCCUUGGUGACAGGAAGGAGCUGAGCAGAAGAGUGUCCACUGUGCAUAGCAGUGGCUGGUGGGGAUCCUGAGGAACCACACCUGCGCGUGUGGGGAUGUGGCUGGAGCUUCAUCAGAGCAUUUCCAUGUCGCGCUCCGCCCUCUCCUGCUGACUCCUCUGCAUGUUAGUUGGAAGCAAGAGGUCACAUGGGUGCUGUCCGUGUGCAGGAGCUGAAGUGGGGACGUGUGGGAAGCCCCCCUGUUCUGCUUGCCGAAGAGGGCCUAUGCCCCCCGGCUGUCGCUGUUCCUUCUGUGUGUAUCUGCUGGGAGGCCUUGAUGCCUGCUGGUCUAGCCCCUGGGCCGUUUUGGUCUUGCUGUCGGGGGAGAUGAGGUUGCAUCAAGGGGCCUUUGUCUGCCCUCCCAAGACAGUGGGGGGUUUGUGUGGCAUGUGUGGGACUGUGUGUGGUCCUGCGCCCUUGGGGGUGGCGGGAGGAUCCAGGAGAUGAGUCUGGGGCAGGGAGGCUGCUCUGGUUUUCUUAUCUCAAGCUUCUGAUUAGCUUCGAUUCCUGAAACACGGAGCCACAGCCUAGGGAGAAAUAAAGUGGUAAUGAGAAUAUAAGGGGGGGCUGCCGGUGGGCAGGACCCAAGGCUUUGGGUGUGCAAGGUGAGGGGGCAUUGUGGCUUCAGGGCUGUUUCUCCUGUCCCCUUUCUUUCUUUCUUUUUUUUUUUUUGUCUUUUGUCUUUUUGUUGUUGUUGUUGUUUUUGCUAUUUCUUGGGCCGCUCCCGCGGCAUAUGGAGGUUCCCAGGCUAGGGGUUGAAUUGGAGCUGUAGCCACCGGCCUACGCCAGAGCCACAGCAACGCGUGAUCCCAGCCGCGUCUGCAACCUACACCACAGCUCACGGCAACGCCGGAUCGUCAACCCACUGAGCAAGGGCAGGGACCGAACCCGCACCCUCAUGGUUCCUAGUCAGAUUCGUUAACCACUGUGCCACGACGGGAACUCCUCCUGUCCCCUUUCUUCAUUCUCCCACACACCUUUGGGUCAGUAUAUUUGGGGGACAGAAGAUAACCAUGGGCACUGAUGAAUAUGCUAUGAAAAAAUGUGGCUCUCUUGUAAAUUUGAGACAUUUCUUACGGAACAGGGUUAUUCUCCAUUUUCCAAGUGAAUCGUGCUCUGUCUGCAGAGGAUGACUUUGCUGUCUCAUCCUUAUUCUGUAUUGCCGCAGGCCUGUGAAGGAUGGCCACUGUGACAGGGGAGCCCUUCAUCCUGCUAGACUUUUGCACAGUCUAUAAUCUGAGGGAGUUCUGAGAAGGAACUGCUGUUGCUUAUGCUGUUUUUCUCCGGACAUAUUUCCCUCCCUUUUCCUGUAGCUUUAUGGACUCUUAGGCGCUGCUUUAUGGUGUCCAUUUCCUCCUGUUCUUUGCGAGGGUCUAGGUGAGUUUCUGAUUUCAGCUCCUCAAGUUGUUCCCCCUUUACCUAGUUCUCACUUAUUGCCAGGAGUUUGGGUGCCUGGUCCUUAAAGGGACAUUCUGGGUUGUCACAUUACCAAAAAGCUUACUUAGCUUCAAGAAAAAGAUUUGCAUACAUUGCAAAGAGGCAGAGAAAGAGCUGAUAAGUUUUCCAAGGUGAAUGUUUUAAGGGAAGAGAGAGGCCGUUUCCCUUUUUUCAACAGGGAUUCUUUAACUUUUCUUAUUUUUUUGCCCUUACAACAUGCUCCCAUGAGACACCUGGUCUCCUGGGUAUUGGCACCCUGCUCCCAGUUGCUGAUUCCGGAGCUCUGCCAAAGUCAGGCCUGUGCAGAGGCUUUCCUCAGGAGGAGCUCGUGCCAAAAGCACCUGAAGGACAAGUGAUCAGUAUGCGUGACUGCUCAUCCUCUGGGCUGCUUUUACCCGUGCCUCUGUCCUCAGGGGGAGUUCUCUGGGAUCUCUAGGAUCAAUUGGAAUGAGGAUUAAAACUACAGACCUUGUUUUGAGAGGGUGUAAACUGAUACCCUGAUGUCACUGGUGUGUUGGCAGGUGGAGCUGGGCUUUCCCUCUCCUAUCCUCCCUUUCUUGAGUCUCCAGAGGAGCACCUGGCAGAGAUGUCAUCUCUGUGUCUUGGGAUACAUGGGACCUGAUAGAAUAUGUGGUAGGAGGCGAGGACUCAGAUCCCACGUUGUGAAUGUUUAGUGUGCAGCCCUGUCAAACAGGGUGGAAAGAGUGUGCAAAAUGUGUGCCCUCCUAUGUAGCUUGAAUGAUCUCUGAUCCCUCUGGAUUUGAAUUUGCCCUCGCAGCCCUUCAGCUGACACAAUAAAGGGAUUACUGAGUGUCGCCAGUCAGGCCCCUUCACAGUCUAGAUUUGGGUUGGCCUUCUCAGCUUCCCUUCCCGCUUCUUACUCAUGUGCAGGCCUACUGUACUGCUUCAUAUCAAGUUUGGAUAAGAACAGCAGUGGGCUCUGUUGAAUGAAUCCUAAGGAGAUGCUCUGAUUUGCUCAGUCUGCCCCAGCAGUCAGACAUAGCAGCCUUCCUGAAUGCUGAAAGGCCUGUCGCAGACUCGACUCUAGUGAUUAUAGGUUGUACAGUCAGGGUACUGAGCUACGGGAUGUAGGAUGUAGUUAAAGCUGGGAACCAAGACGUGCGCGUCUCCUCCUGAGCCCAGAGUUUGAAGUAUUGUGUAUAGAAAAAUGUGCUGAGAGUAAAUCUUAUUCUACCUUCUGUCAAAAAAUAAUAAUAUGAAUUAGCGAGGGUGGAAUGAAACUUAACAGGGGUUGGAUAUGUUUAAGGCAUAGAUUAUGAUGAUGGUUCGUGGAGGUAUACUUAUCUCCAGACUCAUUAAGUUGUAUGUAUUAAGUAUGUGCAGCUUUCUGUAUGUCAGUCAUACCUUCAUAACCUCAAUAAAGUGGUUUAAAAAUAAUAACAAAAAAGACCCUCUCGUGGUUACAGAUGUAUACUCCCCCUCAAGUGUCUUGAGGUUUUAGAACUGAAAGGGAAGAAUGCUUCUACACUGGGAAAUGGGUAAUGCUAUUUACUACUCUGUAUUAUUGUUUUGCCUUGGUUUUUCUAUGUAUGCAUAGCAUUUGCAUUGGCACAUAUAAGGUUAACCUUUAGUCCAUAGGAUUUUCAAUUUUGUAGAAUCACAGCACUUCUGCGAAAGCUGUGAACUUCACCUGGAGGACUUCAGCUCAAGGAGUGGCCUGUGACAUCAGCUAUUUGUCAUUUGACCAGAAAUUGACUUUGGGUCCUGUGCCUUUGGGAAUGGCUUGGACUUUGGGUUGGUUUUGUUUCUUAUAAUAUGUGCUUUUGUGCUUACCUGAGAAAUCUUUUAAAAUAUUUUACACAUGGGGACAUGUCCAGGUGUAAAAUAUUUUACAUAUGGGGACACGUCAAGGUGUAUAUGUACUGUAUCUGUAUCCUAUAGGGUGGAAGGUAGUGUCUCAGGCUGGUUGGUCUCUGCAGCAGGCCUCUUUUCUCUGAGGUCUUCCCACCACCUUCUGUUUUCUGUGUGACUGAGUUCCUUGGCCUUAGCUACUCAGUUUGAUACUUUUCAUCUUGUCCUAGUUGAGCAAACCAUGCUUCUGUUAUAUUUAGAGUUUGGGACUAGAUGCCAAGAAUGGGUGCUAGGCUAGCCUGCAAAGGCUCAUUAAUAACCUUUCACUGCAGAAAAUAUCAUGUAAAAGACAUAUUGUGGGGUUUCCCUGGGUUAUCCUCAUUUCUGUGUCUUUAGAAUGUAUUUGCUGCUUAAGCUUCUUGUAUUUUGUAAAAUACUUGUGUUCUUCCAAUAAAAUU